RNAcentral lists this ribosomal RNA (492 nucleotides) under uncultured bacterium. RNAcentral describes it as "partial 16S ribosomal RNA". It matches the Rfam family "Bacterial small subunit ribosomal RNA", at positions 29 to 507 of the family's 1533-position model. The record is from RNAcentral.
AGUGAACGCUGGCGGCAUGCCUAACACAUGCAAGUCGAACGGCAGCACAGUGAGCGCUUGCUCCUACGGUUGGCGACGGGCGGGUGAGUGAGGCAUACAUCGCCUUCCACUUUUUCUUGGGUGAGAACGUAGGGACACAUCCGCUAAUAGCGCAUAUGUCCUACGGGAUGGAGCAGUGGUUCUUCGGACCUUGCGUGAUUGAAUGAGCUGAUGUCGGAUUAGCUAGUUGGCGGGGUAAAGGCACACCAAGGCGACGAUGCGUAGCUGAUCUGAGAGGAUGAUCGGCCACACUGGAACUGAGACACGGUCCAGACUCCUACGGGAGGCAGCAGUGGGGAAUAUUGGCCAAUGGGCGCAAGCCUGAUCCAGCCAUGCCGCGUGGGUGAAGAAGGCCUUCGGGGUGUAAAGCCCUGUUGUUGGGGAAGAAAAGUAGCGGGAGAAACCACGGCUGUUCUGACGGUACCUAAAGAAUAAGCACCGGCUAACUACGUG